Molecule: ribosomal RNA, 253 nt
Filed under: uncultured bacterium
Lineage: Bacteria
Description: partial 16S ribosomal RNA
Rfam family: Bacterial small subunit ribosomal RNA
Source: RNAcentral
UACGUAUGCCCCAAGCGUUAUCCGGAUUUAUUGGGCGUAAAGCGAGCGCAGGCGGUUAUUUAAGUCUGAAGUGAAAGCCUACGGCUCAACCGUAGAAUUGCAUCGGAAACUGGAUGACUUGAGUGCAGUAGAGGAGAGUGGAACUCCAUGUGUAGCGGUGAAAUGCGUAGAUAGACGGAAGAACACCAGAGGCGAAGGCGACUCUCUGGACUGUAACCGAAGCUGAGGUUCGAAAGUGUGGGUAGCAAACAGG